This is a non-coding RNA of Odocoileus virginianus texanus, 404 nucleotides long. Lineage: Eukaryota; Metazoa; Chordata; Mammalia; Artiodactyla; Cervidae. The record is from RefSeq and is a predicted model, not a curated record.
GAAAGGACCUUGUUUUGCUUUCCAGAGACAAUGGAGAUAUCAAAUUUCUGACUAAAGGAGAUAAUAAUGAAGUUGAUGAUAGAGGCUUGUACAAAGAAGGCCAGAACUGGCUCGAGAAGAAGGACGUGGUGGGGCGCGCCCGUGGGUUUUUACCAUAUGUCGGUAUGGUCACCAUAAUAAUGAACGACUAUCCAAAAUUUAAGUAUGCUCUUUUGGCUGUAAUGGGUGCAUAUGUGUUGUUGAAACGUGAAUCCUGAAGUGCAAAGCAGUUCCUGGGACCAGAUUGAAAGAAAUUUUGUUGAAGAGAAAAGUUAAUAUAUUUGAAAUGUUCGACUUUCUGUAUAAAAGGAAACAAUGUGGAGACGUUUUGUCUUGUUCGAAUAAAUGAUUCAUCAGUAAAGAUU